GCCUAGCAGCGCAUUGGGUUUGCGCGUCAGUUUCGUAAUCUGUGGUCGUGAGUUCGAGUCUCAUCUGGGGCA
Molecule: non-coding RNA, 72 nt
Organism: Schistosoma haematobium
Lineage: Eukaryota; Metazoa; Platyhelminthes; Trematoda; Strigeidida; Schistosomatidae
Source: Rfam